Molecule: ribosomal RNA, 288 nt
Filed under: uncultured bacterium
Lineage: Bacteria
Description: partial 16S ribosomal RNA
Rfam family: Bacterial small subunit ribosomal RNA
Source: RNAcentral
UCAUCCUACGGGGCGCAGCAGUGAGGAAUAUUGGUCAAUGGGAGAGAUCCUGAACCAGCCAAGCCGCGUGAGGGAAGACGGCCCUAUGGGUUGUAAACCUCUUUUGUCGGAGAACAAAACCCGGGACGUGUCCCGGACUGCGUGUAUCCGAAGAAAAAGCAUCGGCUAACUCCGUGCCAGCAGCCGCGGUAAUACGGAGGAUGCGAGCGUUAUCCGGAUUUAUUGGGUUUAAAGGGUGCGUAGGCGGUCCGUUAAGUCGGCGGUAAAAUUGCGGGGUUCAACCCCCGC